CCCACUUGAAUGUACCCACUAAAUUGAAGAAGAAAAUAAAAUAAACUAAUGUAAUCUGAAUUAUAAUAUUCACAAAAUAUUCUGCUCCAAAUAAUAAAAAUGUUAUCCUAGGUAAUCAAACACAAAGAAUAAAGUGAAUGGAGAACUACUAAUGAAUUUCUAAAGGAAAAGAAAAUACUCAUAAAGCAAGUUUUUGUAAUGCUAUGCAGAGUCUAGUCCAUAACCCACCACGAAAUAAGAUGAACAAUCAAAGCCACAACAGUACCUUUCCUACCUAGUAGCUCGAAAUCAACCUGUUUUUUUUCCGUUUUAAAAAAGAGUACAAAAACAUGGAGGAUGCCCCCUUCUGUCAAAUUCGUGGGAUCCCCCCAGCAAAUAGUCUCCUUUUUUCUUUUAAUGAAAUCUUCCUCCUUUUUUUUUGAAAGUUAGUUGCCAAAAAAGAUGAUAUAUCUUUUUUUUCUUUUGAACUCCCUAUCCUCUUGGAUCUGAUCUCCUCCCUUUGUAUUCGUGAUGCUCCCUUAUUUGAUAUACCCAUUUUGUUUGACCUGAUGCCCCUUUUUUUUUCUCUACGUCUCUUCCUCUAAAA
RNAcentral lists this long non-coding RNA (586 nucleotides) under Panax ginseng (ginseng). RNAcentral's name for it is "long non-coding RNA (PGIN_LNC002495)". Lineage: Eukaryota; Viridiplantae; Streptophyta; Magnoliopsida; Apiales; Araliaceae. The record is from RNAcentral.